Molecule: non-coding RNA, 633 nt
Filed under: Macracanthorhynchus hirudinaceus (giant thorny-headed worm)
Lineage: Eukaryota; Metazoa; Acanthocephala; Archiacanthocephala; Oligacanthorhynchida; Oligacanthorhynchidae
Source: RNAcentral
UUAUUAUUAAUUUUUGAUUUAUUAAGGAUAUUGUUAACUUUUUAUUCUAAAAUUUUUUAGAUGAAAUGUAAGGUUUAUAAGUCAAAUUAAAUUUUAGAAAUAAAAUUUUAAGUAUGCAGAAAUGGUUGAUUAAGAGCGUGCCAGCGGUUGCGGUUAGACGAGAGAUAGGUCCUUAAAUAGGUGAUACUAAAAAUUAGUGAAAUAUUUAGGGGUGAAAUUUGAUAAUAUUUUUAUGAGAAAUUAAUCGUAAGUUAGGGGAAAUGAUUUGGAUUAGAAACCCAGGUAAUUCUAGUAAAGAUAGCAUUAGAUGAAGUAAUUAAAAAAUUUGGCGGUAUUAUUUAAUAGUAGAGGGGCUUGUACAUUAAUAGGAUAAUAAACCUGAUUAUACACUUAUUUUGUAGCUUCUUGUAUGAUUGUUUAGGUACUUUUAGGAUCUGUAAUAAAUAAAUGUAGGGGUUAUAGAUGAGGUGGAGUGAGUCUUAGAUUUAAGUGGUUAUUAGAUAUGAUAGCCUAUAGAGAAUUUACAAGUAAAUUAUUGGAAGGUUGAAUUAAUCAAUAAUAAGUACAUAUUGCCCGUCAAUUCCUUUUAGAGGAGUAAGUCGUAACAUAGUGAGUCAACUGGAAGGUGGAUUU